UACGAACUGUGCGAACGUUAUUCGGAAUCACUGGGCUUAAAGGGCGCGUAGGUGGCGGCCCAAGUCCAUGGUGAAAGCUCGAUGCUCAACAUCGAGUCGGCCACGGAUACUGGGUUGCUCGAGCACUGUAGGGGCAGAUGGAAUUCCGGGUGUAGCGGUGGAAUGCGUAGAGAUCCGGAAGAACACCGGUGGCGAAGGCGGUCUGCUGGGCAGUUGCUGACACUGAGGCGCGACAGCGUGGGGAGCAAACAGG
RNAcentral lists this ribosomal RNA (253 nucleotides) under uncultured bacterium. RNAcentral's name for it is "partial 16S ribosomal RNA". It matches the Rfam family "Bacterial small subunit ribosomal RNA", at positions 524 to 776 of the family's 1533-position model. The record is from RNAcentral.